Molecule: unclassified non-coding RNA, 345 nt
Filed under: soil metagenome
Description: partial contains 5.8S ribosomal RNA, internal transcribed spacer 2, and large subunit ribosomal RNA
Rfam family: 5.8S ribosomal RNA (bases 1-119)
Source: RNAcentral
GAUGAAGAACGUAGCGAAAUGCGAUACGUAAUGUGAAUUUCAAAUUCAGUGAAUCAUCGAGUCUUUGAACGCACAUUGCGCCCCCUGGUAUUCCGGGGGGCAUGCCUGUCCGAGCGUCAUUGCUGCCCUCAAGCACGGCUUGUGUGUUGGGCCCCGUCCUCCGAUCCCGGGGGACGGGCCCGAAAGGCAGCGGCGGCACCGCGUCCGGUCCUCGAGCGUAUGGGGCUUUGUCACCCGCUCUGUAGGCCCGGCCGGCGCUUGCCGAUCAACCCAAAUUUUUAUCCAGGUUGACCUCGGAUCAGGUAGGGAUACCCGCUGAACUUAAGCAUAUCAAUAAGCGGAGGA